This 810-nucleotide ribosomal RNA is filed under the name Haloarcula marismortui. RNAcentral's name for it is "bacterial SSU rRNA". It matches the Rfam family "Archaeal small subunit ribosomal RNA", at positions 31 to 848 of the family's 1478-position model. The record is from RNAcentral. Lineage: Archaea; Methanobacteriati; Methanobacteriota; Halobacteria; Halobacteriales; Haloarculaceae.
CAUGGGAUCGAUAGCCAUGCUAGUUGCACGAGUUUAGACUCGUAGCAUAUAGCUCAGUAACACGUGGCCAAACUACCCUACAGACCGCGAUAACCUCGGGAAACUGAGGCCAAUAGCGGAUAUAACUCUCAUGCUGGAGUGCCGAGAGUUAGAAACGUUCCGGCGCUGUAGGAUGUGGCUGCGGCCGAUUAGGUAGAUGGUGGGGUAACGGCCCACCAUGCCGAUAAUCGGUACAGGUUGUGAGAGCAAGAGCCUGGAGACGGUAUCUGAGACAAGAUACCGGGCCCUACGGGGCGCAGCAGGCGCGAAACCUUUACACUGCACGACAGUGCGAUAGGGGGACUCCGAGUGUGAGGGCAUAUAGCCCUCGCUUUUCUGAACCGUAAGGUGGUACAGGAACAAGGACUGGGCAAGACCGGUGCCAGCCGCCGCGGUAAUACCGGCAGUCCGAGUGAUGGCCGAUAUUAUUGGGCCUAAAGCGUCCGUAGCUUGCUGUGUAAGUCCAUUGGGAAAUCGACCAGCUCAACUGGUCGGCGUCCGGUGGAAACUACACAGCUUGGGGCCGAGAGACUCAACGGGUACGUCCGGGGUAGGAGUGAAAUCCUGUAAUCCUGGACGGACCACCAAUGGGGAAACCACGUUGAGAGACCGGACCCGACAGUGAGGGACGAAAGCCAGGGUCUCGAACCGGAUUAGAUACCCGGGUAGUCCUGGCUGUAAACAAUGCUCGCUAGGUAUGUCACGCGCCAUGAGCACGUGAUGUGCCGUAGUGAAGACGAUAAGCGAGCCGCCUGGAAGUACUCCGCAAGU